UCGAGAUCUUCGUCCGCCUUCCGGCCAAGGACAUCCUCCGUUGCCGCGCGGUCUGCCGCUCCUGGCGCCGGCCUCGCCUCGGUGCCUGAUUUCCUCCUCGCCCACCAUCGGCGCCAGCCGUCUCUCCCCCUCGUUCAGCUCUAUGGCGACAUACAGAGGGCAAGUACAAAGGCCGGCCUCCCAAUCUUGGGGCACGGUCCCGGUUGGGUUGUCCUUGGAUUGAACGAUUAUGAUGGCUUUGAGCUGAAGGCCUCCUGUGAUGGCCUCCUCCUGAUCAGCCGCUCUGGCGGCCGCUUUAGCAUCUGCAACCCGGUCACGCGCCAGUGCGCUCCACUCCCACGCCUCACCACCGAAGGCCGCCGCAGCAACAUCAAGAUAGCGGCGUUGUACCUGUACCCUCCGAUGGGUGAGUACCGCGUCAUGUACCGGAUAGGGAGUCACCACGCCAAAGCAGCUCCCUGCUACAUCCUAACGGUUGGGCGUGGAGGCUCGCCAAGGUGUAUUGGAGUUCCUUCGAAUACCCUUGCCAUACGGAAAGCGAAGAUGACCGAGAAUGGAGUGAGCCCUAUUAAUGUGAGCCCACCCGUCGUGUUUGGCGGUUGCCUUCAUUGGGAACCUGGCUGGCUUGACUAUGAUGCCAACGAUAUAGUCGUUUUUGACACGGUGGCCGAGUCGUUCAGGUCCAUGUGUUGUCCGGCUAGUGCUACGAGCCGCUGCACUCAUUUGUGUGAGAUGAAAGGUUUGAUUGGCUUUAGUUGCCUGGACAACGAGAGGACAGUCGCCAGAAUCUGGGUGCUGGAGGACUACGAGAGGGAGGCAUGGUCAUUCAAGUAUCAUGUCAAAUUCCCCAUGGAGAGCUUGUGUCGCUAUAUAUAUGCGCAACAUCUUGUUCUGUCCCACAAGGGAGACGUGCUGGUCUACAGUACGUACACACGCGACAUGUUUCGUUGUGACAGCACCGGCAAGUUGCUAGAGAAAUUCUCAUGGGAACCCGAGUUACAACGAAGUUUGGACAUAAUUGAACACAGGUUAAAAGAAAGCCUUGUCGAGCAGGAGUUCUUCACAAAGCAA
RNAcentral lists this ribosomal RNA (1071 nucleotides) under Triticum aestivum (bread wheat). RNAcentral's name for it is "partial small subunit ribosomal RNA". The record is from RNAcentral. Lineage: Eukaryota; Viridiplantae; Streptophyta; Magnoliopsida; Poales; Poaceae.